UGCAAGUCGAGCGGACAGAAGGGAGCUUGCUCCCGGAUGUUAGCGGCGGACGGGUGAGUAACACGUGGGUAACCUGCCUGUAAGACUGGGAUAACUCCGGGAAACCGGAGCUAAUACCGGAUAGUUCCUUGAACCGCAUGGUUCAAGGAUGAAAGACGGUUUCGGCUGUCACUUACAGAUGGACCCGCGGCGCAUUAGCUAGUUGGUGAGGUAACGGCUCACCAAGGCGACGAUGCGUAGCCGACCUGAGAGGGUGAUCGGCCACACUGGGACUGAGACACGGCCCAGACUCCUACGGGAGGCAGCAGUAGGGAAUCUUCCGCAAUGGACGAAAGUCUGACGGAGCAACGCCGCGUGAGUGAUGAAGGUUUUCGGAUCGUAAAGCUCUGUUGUUAGGGAAGAACAAGUGCAAGAGUAACUGCUUGCACCUUGACGGUACCUAACCAGAAAGCCACGGCUAACUACGUGCCAGCAGCCGCGGUAAUACGUAGGUGGCAAGCGUUGUCCGGAAUUAUUGGGCGUAAAGGGCUCGCAGGCGGUUUCUUAAGUCUGAUGUGAAAGCCCCCGGCUCAACCGGGGAGGGUCAUUGGAAACUGGGAAACUUGAGUGCAGAAGAGGAGAGUGGAAUUCCACGUGUAGCGGUGAAAUGCGUAGAGAUGUGGAGGAACACCAGUGGCGAAGGCGACUCUCUGGUCUGUAA
RNAcentral lists this ribosomal RNA (700 nucleotides) under Bacillus altitudinis. Its description in RNAcentral is "bacterial SSU rRNA". It matches the Rfam family "Bacterial small subunit ribosomal RNA", at positions 56 to 739 of the family's 1533-position model. The record is from RNAcentral. Lineage: Bacteria; Bacillati; Bacillota; Bacilli; Caryophanales; Bacillaceae.